AAACUUUAAAGCAUCAAUAAUACAAAUAGGUGGUAAAAUAAUUCAUUGCAGUCAAUCUGAUAUAGAAUGAAUUGCCCUUACUAACACGUGAGCUACUUCAUUCGCAUAUCUACGGACAAAAAGCAUUUGACCAUUACUUAUCUAUGUGAUUAGAGAUUUAGCAUCAUGAAUAACGGACCCACCCAAAAUAACUAACAUCUCCAUUACUGUUAGCAUUGAUAGCUUCUUUUAUCACCAAUUGGGCAUCUAAUUCAACUUGCACAUUUUUCCAUCCAUUGUCUUUAAAGCAACUUAAACUUCUCGAAUUGCCACAACUUCGGCUACCUUAGGAUUAAAAUGGCCAACUAUCUUUUUACUUGGAAUAUACCAACAGCGCCUUCACAAAUUUUAAUUGCAAAAUAAAAUAUAAUAAUACUCUAUGUAAUUUGACUGAUCUUCUUAGAAUUUUCUUUGAGAUUUUCUUUCAUCCUCUCCUUUCCCUGCUCAUAUGCCAUCUAAGGCAUAAUUGAAAAUUUCGUGAAAUUCAAGAGUUGUAGCCAUUUUAAGUUUCUUGCAAGGAUUGAAUUGUACUGCAAAUAUGAAUUACACUGCAAAUAUGAUGCACAAGCAAUUUUAAAAAAGUUAGAACAAACGAAAAGUACCUAAGCAACCGGCAUAAGCAAAUAUUACUUAAAAUGGAAAAAAAAAAAAAAAAAAAAAAAAAAAAACGCAAACGCACUUACUUGAUUAACAGCAGGAGAGAUCUCUGCUAUACCAAGAAUAUCUGAAAGCUUCUUACAGACGCUAAUUAAUUUGGUAACCCUAGUUUUUGACACUCUUCCAUUGCUGCCCUUACCCCUUUCUCAUUGAUCCAAUUGGAGAGCCCUGCACAACAAUAAAAUAAUUCAUAGCUGGCAUGCUCAAUUUGUCAAUAGUUAGAAACCAAAGACUUGAAAGUCGGACAUCCUUAAUCGCAUUACUCAGUUUGCCAAUACAAGAAAUGACAGCUCAA
This 991-nucleotide long non-coding RNA is filed under the name Jatropha curcas. RNAcentral describes it as "long non-coding RNA (JCUR_LNC000285)". Lineage: Eukaryota; Viridiplantae; Streptophyta; Magnoliopsida; Malpighiales; Euphorbiaceae. The record is from RNAcentral.